RNAcentral lists this unclassified non-coding RNA (88 nucleotides) under Pseudomonas moraviensis. Lineage: Bacteria; Pseudomonadati; Pseudomonadota; Gammaproteobacteria; Pseudomonadales; Pseudomonadaceae. The record is from RNAcentral.
GUAGGAGUGAGCCUGCUCGCGAUGGCAGUGUGUCAGUCAAUAUUUGCGUUUGCUGACACGACUCUAUCGCGAGCAGGCUCACUCCUAC